AACGCAGCGAAGGGCGAUAAGUAAUGUGAAUUGCAGAAUUCAGUGAAUCAUCGAAUCUUUGAACGCACAUUGCGCUUCCUGGUAUUCCGGGGGAGCAUGCCCGCUUCAGAAUCAUUAAAACUCUCAUUGCCAUGUUGUUUUCUGACAGCAUGUCAGUGGAUUUGGACGGUUUGCAUUGACUAUUCAAGCAUCGUCUUAAAAUGAUUGUAUGGCAGCCAAUCGGUUAUUUGGUUCCAAGGUGCAACAGAUUUUAUCUUUCGCCAAGGAUAUCAAUGUAUCUGUUGGUGGUCAUUUCCAACUUAUGAACAGUUGGGAUAUCGUUUGAUAUCUCUUCUGAUAACUUGGUCUGAAAUCGGGCAAGAAAACCCGCUGAACUUAA
This 379-nucleotide ribosomal RNA is filed under the name uncultured fungus. RNAcentral describes it as "eukaryotic LSU rRNA". The stretch from base 1 to 114 matches the Rfam family "5.8S ribosomal RNA", at positions 42 to 154 of the family's 154-position model. The record is from RNAcentral. Lineage: Eukaryota; Fungi.